Long non-coding RNA from Mangifera indica (mango), 682 nucleotides. RefSeq lists it as uncharacterized. The record is from RefSeq and is a predicted model, not a curated record. Lineage: Eukaryota; Viridiplantae; Streptophyta; Magnoliopsida; Sapindales; Anacardiaceae. The transcript has 2 exons.
UUUCAAAGAAAGAAGUAAGAACGACAACGAAAAGACCUCGGAUAUGUAAACCAGCCCCACCACCAUACACAUAAUCUCUCUCUCUCUCUCUCUCUCUUUGUGCCUUUGUACGUCGGGUUUCGUGCAAUGUAUAAGAAGAGAUUUUUUGUCCGCUCAAUCUUCUCAAUCUCAUCCCCUCUCUGUGCAGUACUACUUCUACCCACAACCGCACUUUUCUCUUUCUUUUCUUUAUAAUUAAAACUAAGCCCCCGUUUCUCUUUUUCUCUCUCCUCCUCUCCUCAUUUCGUCUUUUCACUUUUAGGGUUUAUUAAGAUGUGCUUGUGUUGUGCCACUGCUGCUGCUCCACCUCCCGGCCCUCCUGGCCAUGGUUUUUGCCAGAAAGGUUUGGAGACUAUAGUCAUGCAGCUGAUGCCUACUGUAAGGAGUAUGCUCUGUUCCAACAUUAAGUGUUAAAGAUCUAUCGUGUUUAGGUAGUGUUGGAAUUUAUGGAUUAAUAUACUUCAGGUUUGGGAUAGGGAAUGAAGCCAUCGGUCCGUGUAGUAUAGGGAACAUGUAUUAUAUUGACAUUUACUGUAAAUUACUGGUCUAUUUUUAAGUUAGAUAAAAGAAACAGCGCUGCAGCUUUUAUUUGCUCUCCUUUUGUGUUUUGGUCACCGUGUAGCAAUAUAUUGAAAAUUUCACA